UACAGAGGUCUCAAGCGUUGUUCGGAUUCAUUGGGCGUAAAGGGUGCGUAGGCGGCGCGGUAAGUCGGGUGUGAAAUUUCGGAGCUUAACUCCGAAACUGCAUUCGAUAUUGGCGUGCUUGAGGACUGGAGAGGAGACUGGAAUUCAUGGUGUAGCAGUGAAAUGCGUAGAGAUCAUGAGGAAGACCAGUGGCGAAGGCGGGUCUCUGGACCGUAACUGACGCUGAGACACGAAAGCGUGGGUAGCAAACAGG
RNAcentral lists this ribosomal RNA (253 nucleotides) under uncultured bacterium. RNAcentral describes it as "partial 16S ribosomal RNA". It matches the Rfam family "Bacterial small subunit ribosomal RNA", at positions 524 to 776 of the family's 1533-position model. The record is from RNAcentral.